This 541-nucleotide ribosomal RNA is filed under the name Enoplometopus chacei. RNAcentral describes it as "partial large subunit ribosomal RNA". It matches the Rfam family "Bacterial large subunit ribosomal RNA", at positions 1831 to 2625 of the family's 2925-position model. Lineage: Eukaryota; Metazoa; Arthropoda; Malacostraca; Decapoda; Enoplometopidae. The record is from RNAcentral.
GUCUAUAUGGUGGUUUAUAAAGUCUAGCCUGCCCACUGAAAGUAAUUAAAUGGCCGCGGUAUUCUAACCGUGCGAAGGUAGCAUAAUCAUUAGUCUUUUAAUUGAAGGCUUGUAUGAAUGGUUGGACAAGAAACGUUCUGUCUCUAAUAUAAAAUUUGAAAUUAACUUUUAAGUGAAAAGGCUUAAAUAAAUUAAAGUGACGAUAAGACCCUGUAAAAGUUUAUAUAUUAAAAAUUGAAUUUAUAAAAUUAUUAGUAAAAAGAUUUUUAGUUUUUAAAAUAUUUCGUUGGGGCGACGGAGAACAUAAUAUGUAACUGUUUAUAAGUGCAAACAAAUUUAUUUGAUUAUAAUGAUCCAAUUUUUUGAUUAUAAGAUUAAGUUACUUCAGGGAUAACAGCGUUAUUUAUUUUGAGAGUUCAUAUCGACAAAAAAGUUUGCGACCUCGAUGUUGAAUUAAAAGUUCUUUAUAAUGAAGUAAUUAUAAAAGAAAGUCUGUUCGACUUUUAAAUUUUUACAUGAUUUGAGUUUAAACCGGCGUGAG